GGGUUGUUAGCUCAGCUGGUAGAGCAGCGGACUUUUAAUCCGUUGGUCACAGGUUCGAAUCCUGUACAACCCA
This 73-nucleotide transfer RNA is filed under the name Caldimonas thermodepolymerans. RNAcentral describes it as "Schlegelella thermodepolymerans tRNA-Lys". It matches the Rfam family "tRNA". Rfam says of the family: Transfer RNA (tRNA) molecules are approximately 80 nucleotides in length. Their secondary structure includes four short double-helical elements and three loops (D, anti-codon, and T loops). Further hydrogen bonds mediate the characteristic L-shaped molecular structure. tRNAs have two regions of fundamental functional importance: the anti-codon, which is responsible for specific mRNA codon recognition, and the 3' end, to which the tRNAs corresponding amino acid is attached (by aminoacyl-tRNA synthetases). tRNAs cope with the degeneracy of the genetic code in two manners: having more than one tRNA (with a specific anti-codon) for a particular amino acid; and 'wobble' base-pairing, i.e. permitting non-standard base-pairing at the 3rd anti-codon position. Lineage: Bacteria; Pseudomonadati; Pseudomonadota; Betaproteobacteria; Burkholderiales; Sphaerotilaceae. The record is from RNAcentral.